CAGAGUCAUAUGCUCGUCUCAAAGAUUAAGCCAUGCAAGUCUAAGAAUAAAUAAAAAUCAGUAAAUCUGCAGACGGCUCAUUAAAUCAGUAAAUAUCUAAAAGGUUAUUUUAUUACGGAUAACUGUAGUAAUUCUAGAGCUAAUACGAUUCAAAAAUAGUUUUAAAAAAUUACGUAAAAAGGGAAUAGUUUAGAUCUAAAAUGAGUAACCUUUUUUUACGAGAUCGCCCAAGUGUGCGACAUGCCUUUUGAUUUUCUGCCCUAUCAACUUUUGACGGUAGUGUAGUGGACUACCGUGGUUUCGACGGGUAACGGGGAAUAAGGGUUCGAUUCCGGAGAGGGGGCCUGAGAAAUGGCCACCACUUCUAAGGAAGGCAGCAGGCGCGCAAAUUACCCAAUCUCAAUUCGAGGAGGUAGUGACAAGAAAUAGUAAUGCCUUGACUCUUAAGAGUCUGGCAAUUGUAAUGAACUAAUUAUUAAUUCAUUGAUGAGGAACAAUUGGAGGGCAAGUCUGGUGCCAGCAGCCGCGGUAAUUCCAGCUCCAAUAGCGUAUAUUAAAUUUGUUGCAGUUAAAAAGCUCGUAGUCUGUGUCUGAAGUCAGGUCGCCCUUUUGAUUAUUCAAUAAUUAUGGGGGAAUAUAGACCGGCUUCUUGCGUAAAAUCAACGGUAGGCUAUUAAGUUAGCGACCAGUCUGAUGCGCACUACUUUGAAGAAAAUAGAGUGUUUCAAGCAUGCAAGUUUCGCAUGAAUAAAUUAGCAUAGGAUAGUAAAAACUUCAUUUAAAGUCCGAUCUAAGGACCAAAUUAUAGUAUUAAUAGAUAUAGUUGGGGACGUUUAUAUUUAAUAGUCAGAGGUGAAAUUCUUGGAUUUAUUAAGGAUACACAAAUGCGAAGGCAUUCGUCAAGGAUGUUUUCAUUGAUCAAGAACGAUAGUUAAGGGAUCGAAGACGAUCAGAUACCGUCGUAGUCUUAACCGUAAACUAUGCCGACCAGGAAUUAGAUGAUGUUAAUAUGGAUGACUCCUCUGGCGCCUUAAGAGAAAUCUAAAGUCUUUGGGUUCUGGGGGGAGUAUGGUCGCAAGGCUGAAACUUAAAGGAAUUGACGGAAGGGCACACCAGAAGUGGAGCCUGCGGCUUAAUUUGACUCAACACGGGAAAUCUCACCAGGUCCGGACAUUGGAAUGAUUGACAGGCUGACGACCUUUCAAGAUUUGAUGGGUGGUGGUGCAUGGCCGUUCUUAGUUGGUGGAUUGAUUUGUCUGCUUAAUUGCGAUACGAACGAGACCUUACUCUGCUAAAUAGUACCGGGUUAACAUUUUAUGGUGGAGAGCUGAUUUUUGAGAACGGCAAGUAAUUGCUAGUUGCGGGUCAGAAGGACGCUUUUGUUAAACACGGAGACUUCUUAGAGAAACUAAUAUUCAAAAAAAUAGAGGAAGAAAGGCAAUAACAGGUCUGUGAUGCCCUUAGAUGUUCUGGGCCGCACGCGCGCUACAAUGUAUUGUAUAAAGUGUGUUCUGAUAAAGAUCCACUUUGCAGGAAUGCCGGGUAAAACUGGAUUCCUAUUCGUAACCGGAAUAGAUGUUUGUAAUUAUUUGUCUUGAACGAGGAAUUUCUAGUAGUCGUGGUUCACUAAACCACGUCGAUUACGUCCCUGCCCUUUGUACACACCGCCCGUCGCUUCUACCGAUUGAAUACUCCGGUGAAAUCGCCGGAUAAUUGUCCGUCAGGGGGGCGACCCCCAGACGGUCCGUUAAAAGACGAGUAAACCAUAGUAUUUAGAGGAAGAAGAAGUCGUAACAAGGUCUCCGUAGGUGAACCUGCA
This 1819-nucleotide ribosomal RNA is filed under the name Protostelium mycophagum. RNAcentral describes it as "SSU rRNA". It matches the Rfam family "Eukaryotic small subunit ribosomal RNA". The record is from RNAcentral. Lineage: Eukaryota; Evosea; Variosea; Protosteliida; Protosteliaceae.